GUAGGUGGCAAGCGUUGUCCGGAAUUAUUGGGCGUAAAGCGCGCGCAGGCGGUUUUUUAAGUCUGAUGUGAAAGCCCACGGCUCAACCGUGGAGGGUCAUUGGAAACUGGGGAACUUGAGUACAGAAGAGGAAAGCGGAAUUCCACGUGUAGCGGUGAAAUGCGUAGAGAUGUGGAGGGACACCAGUGGCGAAGGCGGCUUUCUGGUCUGUAACUGACGCUGAGGCGCGAAAGCGUGGGGAGCAAACAGGAUUAGAUACCCUGGUAGUCCACGCCGUAAACGAUGAGUGCUAAGUGUUAGGGGGUUUCCCGCCCCCCUUAGUGCUGCAGCUAACGCAUUAAGCACUCCGCCUGGGGAGUACGGCCGCAAGGCUG
Molecule: ribosomal RNA, 374 nt
Filed under: uncultured organism
Description: partial 16S ribosomal RNA
Rfam family: Bacterial small subunit ribosomal RNA
Source: RNAcentral